RNAcentral lists this small RNA (1025 nucleotides) under Pongo abelii (Sumatran orangutan). RNAcentral describes it as "retained intron". Lineage: Eukaryota; Metazoa; Chordata; Mammalia; Primates; Hominidae. The record is from RNAcentral.
GGUGGUGUGCACCUGUAGUCCCAGCUACUUGGGAGGCUUAGGCGGGAGGAUUGCUUGAGUGCAGGAGGUCGAGGCUGCAGCGAGCCACGAUCAUCAUAUCACUGCACUCCAGCCUGGGUGACAGAGUAAGACUCUGUCUCAAAAAAAGAAAAAAGAAAACCAUCAGCACCACUUCUAAUACUUUCUGCCAAAGGGGCUGAAAACAAGAAUCUGCUCUGUCAGGGAUCUGGGUCACUAAGAAUGAGUGGGUGAAGAGGAAGGAGGAAAAACCAAGACAUGACAACCUUUAGAGAAGCAAAAAUAAAACUCUAAUGUGGAAACUGCUGAAAAUAGACUGCCUGGGCUGUCAGACUGCAUGCAAAUCUGAUGCUAAUCACAUGGAAAUUAAUUACAAGUCCUAACUUCCAUAUGUCUCGAUAUGACCCUUGGGGGAAAACCUGCUGCAGGUGUCUACUCCCCACCACAGAGGAGUGAGUGGAACACAGGCUUUGAUGUCGCCUCCUUCAUACUCAGCUCUUGCCACUGCAGUGAGAGGAGGCUAAAAAUAUUAACAAUAGAAAUUUGAUUUCUUCUUUCAGACAAAAAGCGUUGGCAUCCACGGGAGGAAGAAGUGUUCAGGCAGCAUGUGACUGGUUAUUCUCCCACGUUGGUGACCCCUUCCUGGAUGACCCCCUGCCCCGGGAGUACGUCCUCUACCUCCGUCCCACCGGCCCCUUAGCACAGAAGCUUUCUGACUUUUGGCAGCAGUCGAAGCAGAUCUGCGGGAAGAACAAGGCACACAACAUCUUCCCCCACAUCACACUCUGCCAGUUCUUUAUGUGCGAGGACAGCAAGGUGGAUGCCCUGGGGGAAGCCCUGCAGACCACGGUCAGUCGCUGGAAAUGUAAGUUCUCAGCCCCGCUGCCCCUGGAGCUCUACACGUCGUCCAACUUCAUCGGCCUCUUCGUAAAGGAAGACAGUGCGGAGGUCCUCAAGAAGUUUGCUGCUGACUUUGCUGCAGAGGCUGCAUCCAAAACCGGUGAGCA